GACGAACGCUGGCGGCGUGCCUAACACAUGCAAGUGGAGCGACGAACCAGGCUUCGGCCUGGGGCAAAGCCGCGAACGGGUGAGUAACACGUGGGUAACCUGCCCUGAUGAUUGGGACAACCCGAGGAAACUCGGGCUAAUACCGAAUGUGCCCUCCGGCCUCAAGGCCGCUGGGGAAAGGAAGCUUCGGCCUCCGCAUCGGGAUGGGCCCGCGGCCCAUUAGCUUGUUGGUGAGGUAACGGCNCACCAAGGCGACGAUGGGUAGCUGGUCUGAGAGGACGAUCAGCCACACUGGGACUGAGACACGGCCCAGACUCCUACGGGAGGCAGCAGUGGGGAAUCUUGCGCAAUGCGCGAAAGCGUGACGCAGCAACGCCGCGUGGGGAAGAAGGCC
This 394-nucleotide ribosomal RNA is filed under the name uncultured bacterium. RNAcentral's name for it is "bacterial SSU rRNA". It matches the Rfam family "Bacterial small subunit ribosomal RNA", at positions 28 to 416 of the family's 1533-position model. The record is from RNAcentral.